UUGACCUCGGAUCAGGUAGGAAUACCCGCUGAACUUAAGCAUAUCAAUAAA
Molecule: ribosomal RNA, 51 nt
Filed under: Fusarium sp.
Lineage: Eukaryota; Fungi; Ascomycota; Sordariomycetes; Hypocreales; Nectriaceae
Also listed under: 1 other name
Description: partial 28S ribosomal RNA
Source: RNAcentral